CAAUUGUAUACUAAAAUUUUAGCACUCUAAAAGAUCUAGAUUCUUAUAGGUUUAAGUUUUUAUAUUUGAAGUUGUUAAAAUGUCGAUAAAACAGUAUAAAACAGCAUAUUAAGUACGCGAAAGACGUUGAGGCUUUAAUCUAGUCGAUAAUCUAGUCGGCUAGAUAUUAAUUUAUCCUCUAGAUAUUAAUUUAUCUAGAAUCUAGCGGCUUCUUACCCAGCAUGGCAGCACACGUCCUCCAUCUGUCACUUUGCUCUCCAUCGCAAUAAUCUAGUCGGAUCUACUGCCCAAUUGAUAUGCUGUACUUCUCCAACGGCAAGCGGGUGGGCGAGAUCAGCCGGCCGCGGACGGGCGGGAGCUGCGACUGUCGGCUCUACCAAGCUCUGCGCAAGUGGGCUUCGGCAAGCUCGCCCGGGCACAAGCGGGCAGGAGCCGUGGGGCAGGCUCCGGCGCCACGGGCGGCGAGCUCCGCGUACGAAGGCUUCGGCAAGCUCGGCCGGUUGCAAGCAGGCGAGAGCAGAGCGGGCUGGCUCCGUCGAGCACGGCCAGCCGCGUGCAGGCGUAUGGUCGACGAUCCUCGCUACCUCCAUGUAUGUAUCCAGCUGGUAAAAAAAUUGUUUCUAACUAGGAUGGAAAAUGACUAGGUAAGUUUGAGCAGCCCAUCAUAUCCUGAGCUCCUUUUGGCUUCGGAGGCCUUGUUGUGAGAAAUUAUCUUACUGGGUUUCUUCAUUAUGUAGAUGGACUAUGAGGUGGAUGCGAAGCCAUUGCUCAAGAAGAUGGAGAGGAAUGGAAUAGGCCUUAAGAGAGCUUCAUUUAUAUGGCUUAAUGCACUAUAUUAUGACAAGCACAAGAGGUUCAAUGACGCAAAGAAGAUGUACAAUCUGGGGAUCCAGAACCUGACAGAGCCUAUCAGUGAGUUGCACAAAGCACAUGAACAGUUUAUUCUUCGAAUGGAAUCAUACAAGAGAAGGAAAGAUAAACUGCAGGAAAGAAUGCCUAGGAAAGCUGAUCCAAGUCCUAAUGUGUCUUUUGUACUGAUGUCCUGUGCACGCUGGUUUUAGCUUUCUAGAACGCACAAGAAUACUUGGAAAUGGGUAGAUGAGAUCCGCUUUUAUUGCAAAGGUCAUGUGCACUCGACCUUCUUGGCUAAUUCCUUUGUACUGAUGUACGUGUUGCUGCGGGCAAGGACUAAUUAUCUUUUCUGUAAUAAGAUCCUUGAAGCUCCUUAUGAGGAGGAAGUCUCACUGCUUUUGAAAAUAUUCAGGUGAGUAUACUUAUGAAAUCACAUGCCUGAUAUGUGCUUCUCUUUGUUUUUUAUUUUUCAAAUGUGAACAACACAUUGGCAACACACUAACCCAUGCAUUGUUCCUGCAAUUCGACAUGAUGUGAUAUGUGAAACUCUUUUUGAGUAAAACAGCUCAUAAGGAUGGAGGUAAGCUACAAUCAUCCUGUCUGCUUAUUUACACACUGCAAACUGAUCACUAAAACUUGUUUUUGAGUAAAACAGCGCAUAAUUUUAGAGCUAUCCUGUCCUUGAUUACAUGUUUAAUUGCAUGUAGAUUUAUGGUGCUUGGAUAUGCUGUAAUAUUGAUGCUCCAAGUUCCGGAAAGGCGCCUGAUGGACUAGAUAGCCUGUUGCUUGGAUAUGUUGUAACAUUGAUGCUCGAAAUGCUGGACAUACACCUGAUGUGGAUAGGAUGGCCUGAUGCUCAGAUGUGCUAAAGUGUUAAUGUUUCAAAUACUUAGGGUAGUCAGUCAUGGUGCUAAGAUGUGCUGUAAUAUUGAUGUUCCAAUUUUUCGAACAGACACUUGAUGGAUAGAAUAGCAUAUGCUCUCAGAUAUGUUGUAAUAUUCAUGAUUCAAAUGCCGGAUAGACAUAUACAAUGGAUAGUGUACUCACACUGCUGAUUUUGUGUUGAAUUUAUCCUAUGCAAUGUAUGCUAUUUGUCACAUCUUAA
RNA transcript from Panicum virgatum (switchgrass), 1957 nucleotides. RefSeq lists it as uncharacterized. NCBI's taxonomy places the organism in Eukaryota, Viridiplantae, Streptophyta, Magnoliopsida, Poales, Poaceae. The record is from RefSeq and is a predicted model, not a curated record. The transcript has 4 exons.